Molecule: ribosomal RNA, 315 nt
Filed under: uncultured bacterium
Lineage: Bacteria
Description: bacterial SSU rRNA
Rfam family: Bacterial small subunit ribosomal RNA
Source: RNAcentral
GACCACGGGAUCACAUGGUUCUGGGGGUUAAAAGAUUUAUCGGUUUGGGGUGGGCUCGCGUCCGAUUAGGUAGUUGGUGAGGUUAACGGGCCCACCAAGCCGACGAUCGGUAGCCGACCUGAGAGGUGAUCGGCCACAUUGGGACUGAGACACGGCCCAAACUCCUACGGGAGGCAGCAGUGGGGAAUAUUGCACAAUGGGGAAACCCUGAUGCAGCGACGCCGCGUGGAGGAAGAAGGUCUUCGGAUUGUAAACUUCCUGUUGUUGAGGAAGAUAAUGACGGUACUCAACAAGGAAGUGACGGCUAACUACGUG